RNAcentral lists this ribosomal RNA (292 nucleotides) under uncultured bacterium. Its description in RNAcentral is "partial 16S ribosomal RNA". It matches the Rfam family "Bacterial small subunit ribosomal RNA", at positions 162 to 454 of the family's 1533-position model. The record is from RNAcentral.
AUUAAUACUCCAUAGUAUCACAAUUUCGCAUGUUAUUGUGAUUAAAGUUUUUCGGUAUGAGAUGGGCAUGCGUCCCAUUAGCUUGUUGGUGAGGUAACGGCUCACCCAGGCAACGAUGGGUAGGGGGCCUGAGAGGGUGGUCCCCCACACUGGUACUGAGACACGGACCAGACUCCUACGGGAGGCAGCAGUGAGGAAUAUUGGUCAAUGGAGGAAACUCUGAACCAGCCAUGCCGCGUGAAGGAUGACGGCCCUAUGGGUUGUAAACUUCUUUUAUAGAGGAAUAAACUUG